Physcomitrium patens is the source of this 916-nucleotide non-coding RNA. The record is from RefSeq and is a predicted model, not a curated record. Lineage: Eukaryota; Viridiplantae; Streptophyta; Bryopsida; Funariales; Funariaceae.
GAAUCCAUUUGAAUCCAUUGGACAAAAACUGAAUGGACCGAAAGGACAUUGCGUGUUUACAGGCACACGAAGAAAUGGACAACAAAUCCACCUCUCACAUGGAAUUGGAUAGGAGAUGUCAGAGCGUCGUCACGUGGACAGAGCAACUGAGCCCCUGGAGGUGAAGAGGUAUCAAUGCUACAAAGUACGUGCGAAGCAAUGCAGAAGCAAUCAUUUUCGUAGCAGGGUAAUCAAUUGUUGACACAGGAACAUUUUAUCCCACUGUCAAGAAGCUGAUAUUGCUGUGAAGCAGCAGUGAUGAUGUACGCAAAGCAGCGAUCCUUGCUGCGUGGACAAUUUCUGUAAGCAGGGUGGAUAAGAAGAAGCUGGUUGCAGGUACUGGAGUGGCACUGGACAUGACCACACUAACCAUCAUCCGAGCUCUUCCAAGUGAGGGCGAACGUUUAUACUAUUAAAUGUCGCAAUUUAAAUGGACAUUGUUUGAAGCAUAACCCUAAUUCAUUACGCUCACAAUCUUUGCACUCAUUAGCAUCGAUCUGAGCUUGGAAGGACUCGCAGUAGCAGGUACAAGUGUGCAUGUGAACGGGAUGAAGAGGUAAUCAUGCCUGUUGCAAAAAAAAUCGAGAAUCCAAAUGACGGUUGUCAAGAGAGGAAUUCCUCAACCAGGUGGACAUCGUGAUAUGUGAUGUCCUUCACGAAGAUCCUGGUUUGUAGGCUUCGCAGCUGCUGAAGCGUCGACUGAGCAGGCCCAAGAGAUACGAUUGUCCAUAGGACAUUCGGUUACGAAUCCCAAAACUCUUGCAAAGAGUUCCUCUUAAACCACCCAUGUCACAGAAGUCUGCUUUCGACACUAAUGUAAUUUUAAAGCAUCACCCUAUACAAAAACACCACAAGUCUCCUGAACGUGGUGUAUCUG